ACUUUUAAUGGGAAAAAGACUCCCGUUGGUCNUAGAANCCGCACGUCUUGGUGCAAAUCCAAGUAAAAGUAAUG
This 74-nucleotide transfer RNA is filed under the name Palleon lolontany. RNAcentral's name for it is "partial tRNA-Leu". The record is from RNAcentral. Lineage: Eukaryota; Metazoa; Chordata; Lepidosauria; Squamata; Chamaeleonidae.